UACACACCGCCCGUCACACCAUGAGAGUUGGAGAUACCCGAAGCCUAUGAGCUAACUUUUAGAGGCAGUAGUCGAAGGUAGAAUCAAUGAUUGGGGUGAAGUCGUAACAAGGUAGC
RNAcentral lists this ribosomal RNA (116 nucleotides) under uncultured bacterium. RNAcentral describes it as "partial 16S ribosomal RNA". It matches the Rfam family "Bacterial small subunit ribosomal RNA", at positions 1384 to 1500 of the family's 1533-position model. The record is from RNAcentral.